Molecule: long non-coding RNA, 353 nt
Organism: Harpia harpyja (harpy eagle)
Lineage: Eukaryota; Metazoa; Chordata; Aves; Accipitriformes; Accipitridae
Exons: 3
Source: RefSeq, a predicted model, not a curated record
GGGGGGACCGCGGGGGCAAAAGGGCCCCGUAGGAUGCUAUGAAAGGACAUAUGGGGCAACAGGGGGGUCUGUAGGGGCUGUGGGGGCGUUCCCAGGUUGGGGGGGCUCUAGGGCAGGGCAGGACCUUCAUCCCCCACCCCCACCGCUCUCCAGGACCCCCCUGAGCCUCAUCUGGAGCACCCGUGUCCCCCCACACCACAGGGAUGGCUUCGCUGGGCACCAGCAGCCAGAUGGUCACUGAGUACGUGGUCCGGGUGCCCAAGAACACCACCAAGAAGUACAACAUCAUGGCCUUCAACGCCGCUGACAAGGUCAACUUCGCCACCUGGCACCAGGUGACGCGGGGACGGGGG